This 4823-nucleotide long non-coding RNA is filed under the name Homo sapiens (human). RNAcentral describes it as "HSALNT0239621". The record is from RNAcentral. Lineage: Eukaryota; Metazoa; Chordata; Mammalia; Primates; Hominidae.
CCCCGCCCCAGCUCCCUGUCCCUGCUAGGCUGCCUUGGGGGGAAGGGCAGGGCGGGGGAGAAGGGCUGGUGGGGGCUGGGGACUUUCUCCAAGUUUUCUUUUUAGCCUUUUUUGAAGGUAGCUAGUGGGGGCUUCUUCGAGGGUUGACAUGACACCCCGCCCCCCAGGUGGCAGGAAGACAGUGCUAAACUCCUAGGAGCCAGGUGUGAGGUUGGAGGCGGCAUUCCUUUGCAUCAAUGUCAGGGAUCCCAGGUUAGACCCAGCCUGGGAUCUCCAGAGGGGAGAAUGCUAAAAAUGCAGAAGGAAGGGGGCGAUCCAAACCCACAGUGCCUCUGAUGCAGACAGCGAGGGGGCAUUCUAGGAGAGCAGCCAGGAGCCCCUCCUGAGACAGAAAAGCCAAGUUGCCCCUGGAGCCUCAGAGAAGGAGCAACAAGUAGUCGCCUCCCCCACCGCCACAUAGCUGUCGGGAGAGUCUGUAUUUGAAAGAGAAAGGCAACUGGGACUCCAGAUGGAAGUACAGCCGGAACUAUAGGUGGGAGCAAAGAAUUAGCCUUUCCGCUGCCUACCUCUUUUUUCCUGAAACUCCACUGGCAGUCAGCUCCUGCUAGCAGCUCCAGGCCCUCUCCUACAGGAAGACUUCCUGGAUUAAUCUGCUAAUCUUCAGCUCAUCCACCUGUUUAAUAGGCAAAACCUACAGAACUAGUCCACACUGAGUGGACCUCUGGGGCUCCCAGCUGCCGAUUGACCUGAACCCCAGAGUGAACUCGUGUUGCUUUGUGGCUUCAGGAAACCUUGGAACAUCUCUGUGCUGUUUUUUCAUUUGUGCUCAAUCAUUCCUGAGGCCUCCUCCUCCUGCUGCAAUUUGACAAGACUUGACCAAAUCAUUAACUCCCAGUUAAUGGGAUAAAAUGAGUUUGAAUCUGGGAUUCUGGUCAUUAACCCCAUGUCACCAUCUGCUCCAGCAGUUUGAUGGCAGGGCUAGGUGAAUUCUAAUCACCCAACACUUGUUAAACUGCUGAUUCCUGCUUCCCCACCUCUGCUGACUCAGCAUCUCUGGGGUGGGGCCUGCAAAGGCUCUCUUCCUUGACGGGGUUAUUGAGGGCAGCUCUAGGAACCCACCCAGGACCAGACCUGAUGAGGAGUUCCUCCUAUGCAUCAGGUAUGCUGGGUCGGUUUGCGGAGUUUCAUAACUUGCAUUUUCCUCUGCCUGGAGAGUUCCUUGCAGCUGGCUUCUUCUGUGUCACGGCCCCACAGAGAUCUUGGCUGGUCUCCCUAUCUCCACCCUCCACCAUGCUCACUAUUCCAUUACAAGUUUCCUUUUCUACCCAGUACUAAUCAUUUUCUGCAAUUCAUCUCAUUUCCUUGUGAACUAUCUGUUGGUCCUACCAGAAUGUAAGUCUCCACCUGGGGGCAGAGACCCUGCCUGGCUUGUUAGAAGCCAUAUCCCCAGGAUUGAAGCAUAUGAGAGAUGCUCAGAAAUACAAGAAUUCAUGAACAAAUGAACACGAGUGAAUUCAUUCAGCUCUGAUGCUGAGGCUCCCUCUCUGAGAUGAAAGAAUGGGGAACCUUCUUCUAAUCCUGGGGAACCUGGGGCCUGCCCUGAGCCUGAUUCCUGAGGCAGGUGAGAGGCACCUCCUACCUCUCAACCCUGUCUAUUGUUACCCCCAGCACCCAGGGAAGACCUCACUGGAGCCUGAGUCAGUGCAGGGGGCCAAGAGGAAUCUGUGCACCCAGAGAAUCUUGGCUGAGUUACCUGAUUUUAAAACUCCUGACUUAAGGUGCUAUUGACCAAGUACUCCUUAGCUCCAUCGCCUACAAAACCACAGGUGCAGGUGAAAGUUGAGUUUAGGUAUGAACUGAAUACUGUUUAGCUACCCUAUUUAAAAAAUUGUUUUCAUUUGUUUGUUUGUUGAGACAGGGUCUCACACUGUCACUCAGGCUGGAGUGCAGUGACAUGGUCAUAGCUCACUGUGGUCUUGAACUUCUGGACUCAAGCUCUCCUCCUGCCUCAGCCUCCUGAGUAGCUGAGACUACAAGGUGCCACCACAUCCAGCUAAUUUUUAAAACCUUUUUUGUAGAAAUGGGGGCUCUCCCUAUGUUGCCCAGGUUUGUCUCGAGCUCCUGGCCUCAAGGGAUCCUCCUGCCUCAGCCUCCCAAAGCAGUGGCCACAGGCAUGGGCACUGCACCCGGCCAAAAGAAAUAUUCUGUCUUCGCUUCCAACUUGAAAUGGACUGCUUACCUUGGCACUUCCCAUGCCGGCUUCUCUCCACUUUCCAAUCUAACAGGAUAAUGAUGUCAUACAGAAAUAACUUACAGUAGGUAUUUAGUAAAUGCUGGUGUGCAAUAUGGAAUAAAAUUCACAAGAGGAAUUCCAAACUGUUCCUUAUCCUCAAAUCAUUUUUUAAUAGCCAAAAAAUUAGUCUGAAAUUUGAGUCCUCGCCCUUCAGUGUAAAAUCAGUAGCUUUUAAUUUUCCCUUAUUUUGUUUGCUUUAAAGAGGCACACCUACCUAUAGUCCCUUAGUCAUGUAAGGGCUGACCCCUCCCACUGGUCUAAAGCGGGGCUUCUGGACCAUGCCUGACCACAGCCAUCUGAUCCUGAGGAGCCUUUAACCCAGUACUUCUGUUUAAAGAAACAAAAGUCCUCUCCUAAAUAAACAAAGCAGGCCUGACUCAAAUCUCUCCGAUGGGUAAAGGAAAGUACCCAGGAGCAGGAGGCUUGGAUUUCUGAUUUUAUUUCGUGUCAUUUCCCUUCCUCAAAGGUGUGAAACUCCACCCCACGCCACUCCUUUCCUAUUCAUCCUCUACUGGAUGUUUUUUCCUCUAAAUAAUUUUUAUUUUCUAUUUUUGUCUGUAUGUGUUCUCCUCUUUUAGUCUACUUCUGUCCCUCUUUCCCCUGCGAAGGAAAAAUAGAAGAAAGAAGCCAUCUCUGUUUGCUUUCUCCCUGUCACUCAAUCUCUGGAGCCAACUGCUUCACAAAUAAAGAGAAGUGCACAGAGAGUCCCUGAAGCCCACCAUCAACAGACAGGCUUUCAACAAAACUGUAUCAGCACCGCCUUGGCCAUAGCUACACUCUACAGAAAAUGGGAGAGAGGAACAGCGCUAGAGAAGUUUGUCCUUGCCUGGUUCCCGGGUGGAACUUCCUCUCCCCCUUGUGUUCUAUGCGUGUGGUUACAGCUGCCUCUGAUCUUUGGUGACCAGCGGUUGGCAGUGGUGGUAUUUCAGCAUACCUUGAUCAUCGUGCUUAUUACACAGCCUCCUUUACCAUCAACCCUACCUACCUUCUUCUAGCCAUGCCCCCCACCUCCUCCCGUCUCUAUCCAUCUCUUCGCUCUUUUAAAAAAUACUUAAGUGUGUACAGAUCACAGUGACUUCAUUUGUGUGCCCAUUCACAUUUGAUGACUUCCAUAACCCCCAUACAAGUAGUUGUGUAUUCGUUUUAAUUCACUUUAUUUAUUUCCUAGCUCUUUCAUAAAAUAAAAUGAAAUAUAAGUAAUGAAAUGGGAAUAAAAAAGAGAAAAAUAGAAUUGAGGGGGAAAAGGAGAAAUGCAUCUAUGUUUGUGAUCACGUUCAUCUUUCUCCAUGCAUCAAUAUGCAUACUAUUAUGAAUUCAUUGCACGUAUUUUAACAUGUAGGCACUACAUGGGGAUGUGGUGUCUACAUACCACCUCUAUAGUGGUAGGCACUGCAAAGGGACAUACAAAAGGUAAAAAGCAUAGUCUCUACUCUCAUAGGACUUUUCAUCUCAUGGAUGUGGCACUCAUAAUGUCUUUUAUCUGUGUCCCACUUGAUGUGAAACUCUUUAGUAGGCAUGAUCCUAUUUGAUUUCCAUAAGCAGAAGAGGGGUCACUGUUUCCAUGUUAUGAGAGAGGAAACUGAGGUUCAGAGAGUGAAAGGACCCUGAUGAGAUAAUGGAACUGGGGCUCAAAUCCUGGUUUCCCGACUCAACAUUUCACAUUCUUUCUACUCUGUCAUUAUUCAUUAGUCAAGUUUCUCCACAGACAACUCACUGAGCCACAACAUAUGAAGCAGCAUGGUAAUGCCACUAGACUGGUCAUGAUCAGAAGAUGUGGCCCCAGGGAAGAGAAAGCAAGAGAGCUGGAGAUAGCAGAGAAAGCACCAAGGAAGGGCUUGGCCGUGCAGCUCUAGCAGGGAGGUCCUUCCUUUCAGCCCCCAAGUGUCCCUCUGUGUCUCAUCUAAAAAGCAAAAAAAGAGGAGAACUAGAGCUUAUGGUUGAAGGCGUGAGAAUGAGGUGUCUUUUCCCUCUAUCUCUGUAAUAUACAAGUAUAAAUACUAUAUAUACAUAUGUAUAUGUGUUCCUUUUUUCUGUGUCUGAUUAUGCAUGCAAUUUAGCAAGGAUUUAUUGCCUAAUUUUGGUCUGGGCACUUUGCUAACGCAAUGGGGGAGGAUACCAAGAAAUUAGGGACUCAGCCUCAUUGUCCCCAGAGACUCCUGGGGGUGGGCAAGGCACGGUGUCUGUGCAUACUGCUGGGGGAGCUCUGGAUUAGGGGACAUCAGGAGACAUGACAUUGAAAUGUCCUACUCAGUUCUCUGUACAGAUUGGAUUUCCGUGGAAGAAAGAAAAUCAACAUGUAUUGGGAGUCAACAUCUCAUUCAGUCCUGUGAGUUUAUUCUGCCUAUUUUUCAGACAAGGAGACUAAGGCUUCAAGACGGUAAGUAAAUUGCCCACAGUGUCACUGCUGGUGUGGGAAUGAGCUUCAGGGUCAUUGAGUCAUGCUGCUGCCCAGGUACCCUGUAAGGCCGUCAAGUGUUGUGGGUAAGGGUUUUGGUGCUGACGUUCAGGUGAUUGUGAGUUUAAAGCCUGG